UGUAUGUUGGUGUAUGAUGCACUUGGAGUUUUGAUCUUCGAAGGUAUAGUUUAAUUCUAUAACUUACAA
Molecule: transfer RNA, 69 nt
Filed under: Scoparipes salvazai
Lineage: Eukaryota; Metazoa; Arthropoda; Insecta; Hemiptera; Cydnidae
Description: tRNA-Gln
Source: RNAcentral